AUCGCUUCUCAGCCUUUUGGCUAAGUUCCAGCGUAGUAUCUGUUCUUAUCAGUUCAAAGAAGAGUCCCUUGUCACUAAUCUAAUUAGCUUUAUGUGAAAAAGUAAAAAAAAAAAAAAAAAAGCAUU
Molecule: small nuclear RNA, 126 nt
Filed under: Suricata suricatta (meerkat)
Lineage: Eukaryota; Metazoa; Chordata; Mammalia; Carnivora; Herpestidae
Description: U2 spliceosomal RNA (ENSSSUG00005003062.1)
Rfam family: U2 spliceosomal RNA
About the family: U2 is a small nuclear RNA (snRNA) component of the spliceosome (involved in pre-mRNA splicing). Complementary binding between U2 snRNA (in an area lying towards the 5' end but 3' to hairpin I) and the branchpoint sequence (BPS) of the intron results the bulging out of an unpaired adenosine, on the BPS, which initiates a nucleophilic attack at the intronic 5' splice site, thus starting the first of two transesterification reactions that mediate splicing.
Source: RNAcentral